RNAcentral lists this ribosomal RNA (565 nucleotides) under Amphiprion polymnus (saddleback clownfish). RNAcentral's name for it is "partial 16S ribosomal RNA". It matches the Rfam family "Bacterial large subunit ribosomal RNA", at positions 1839 to 2597 of the family's 2925-position model. Lineage: Eukaryota; Metazoa; Chordata; Actinopteri; Pomacentridae. The record is from RNAcentral.
CUACAUAAGAGGUCUGCCUGCCCAGUGACUAUAUGUUUAACGGCCGCGGUACUUUGACCGUGCGAAGGUAGCGCAAUCACUUGUCUUUUAAAUGAAGACCUGUAUGAAUGGCACGACGAGGGCUUAACUGUCUCCUUUUUCCAGUCAAUGAAAUUGAUCUUCCCGUGCAGAAGCGGGAAUAAUAUCAUAAGACGAGAAGACCCUGUGGAGCUUUAGACACUAAAUCAGCCCUUGUCCAAAAUCCUAAUUAAAGGAAUGAACACUAGAGUGAGACCUGAUCCAAUGUCUUCGGUUGGGGCGACCUUGGGGAAAGAAAAAUCCCCCAUGCGGAACAGAAAUACUGUAUUUCCAAAACUAAGAGAGACCACUCAAAAGUAUCAAAAAUUUUGACCAACUAUAUGGAUCCGGCUUAACGCCGAUCAACGGACCGAGUUACCCCAGGGAUAACAGCGCAAUCCUCUUUUAGAGCCCAUAUCGACCAGAAGGUUUACGAACUCGAUGUUGAUCAGACACUCCUAAUGGUGCAAACGCUAUUAAGGUUCCUUGGUCCACGGAAUUAAGUCCU